GCCCGGGUAGCUCAGUUGGCUAGAGCGUGGGACUUUUACGACAGCUAUCAGUCGAUAUCCCAAUGUCGAGGGUUCGAGCCCCUCUUCGGGCG
Molecule: non-coding RNA, 92 nt
Organism: Coniochaeta sp. PMI_546
Lineage: Eukaryota; Fungi; Ascomycota; Sordariomycetes; Coniochaetales; Coniochaetaceae
Source: the annotation of a GenBank genome assembly